AGAACGAACGCUGGCGGCAUGCCUAAUACAUGCAAGUCGAACGAACACUUCGGUGUUAGUGGCGCACGGGUGCGUAACGCGUGGGAAUCUGCCCUUGGGUUCGGAAUAACAGUUGGAAACGACUGCUAAUACCGGAUGAUAUCGAAAGAUCAAAGAUUUAUCGCCCAGGGAUGAGCCCGCGUAGGAUUAGCUAGUUGGUGAGGUAAAGGCUCACCAAGGCGACGAUCCUUAGCUGGUCUGAGAGGAUGAUCAGCCACA
Molecule: ribosomal RNA, 258 nt
Filed under: uncultured soil bacterium
Lineage: Bacteria
Description: partial 16S ribosomal RNA
Rfam family: Bacterial small subunit ribosomal RNA
Source: RNAcentral